CCUAGGGGGCGCAGCAGUGGGGAAUAUUGGACAAUGGGCGAAAGCCUGAUCCAGCCAUGCCGCGUGUGUGAAGAAGGCCUUCGGGUUGUAAAGCACUUUCAGUGGGGAAGAAAGCCUUGGGGCUAAUACCCUCGAGGAAGGACAUCACCCACAGAAGAAGCACCGGCUAACUCCGUGCCAGCAGCCGCGGUAAUACGGAGGGUGCGAGCGUUAAUCGGAAUUACUGGGCGUAAAGCGCGCGUAGGCGGUCUGAUAAGCCGGUUGUGAAAGCCCCGGGCUCAACCUGGGAACGGCAUCCGGAACUGUCAGGCUAGAGUGCAGGAGAGGAAGGUAGAAUUCCCGGUGUAGCGGUGAAAUGCGUAGAGAUCGGGAGGAAUACCAGUGGCGAAGGCGGCCUUCUGGACUGACACUGACGCUGAGGUGCGAAAGCGUGGGUAGCAAACAGGAUUAGAUACCCUUGUAGUC
Molecule: ribosomal RNA, 465 nt
Filed under: Vreelandella stevensii
Lineage: Bacteria; Pseudomonadati; Pseudomonadota; Gammaproteobacteria; Oceanospirillales; Halomonadaceae
Description: partial 16S ribosomal RNA
Rfam family: Bacterial small subunit ribosomal RNA
Source: RNAcentral